CGUCAGAUGUUAUCGAUGUUUAUUUUUAUUCAAAUAAAUAAUAAUUUGGAUUCCAUGCAAGUUUUGUUAUCAUAAAAUGGAAAUUUAAAAAUCGACAGUGAUUUUAUUAGUGUAAAAUACAAUAAUGUCUUCGGAAGCCGAAGAAAACCCCGUCCAUAUUGGUCCUGUUGACGUCGACUCUCUUAAGAAAGAAAAUGAAAAGAAUUCCGAACAUUUUUGCGAUUCUGGAGUGGAGUCUGCUGACUCCUGCUCCGCUACACUGCCUACAUCAUCAGACUGUGAGGUAUCGUCCAUAAAGACUGCAGAACAUGACAAACUGUUUGACCUAAAAAAUGAUAGUGAAAAACCAGUUGAAAUUGAUAAUAGACCUAUUUUAUCGAGUCCUGCUUGCUUAACACCGGAUAUAAAUGAUGUCACGGAGAAUUUACUGAGUUUAGAAGAGUUUUCUUUCAACAAAACCGACGGAACGUCGCUUGUACAUGACUAUGUUUGUGAAACCAAAGAAGAAUCAAUUACUGAAGGAAUUCUUGAUGACAACUUUGUUACCGAGUCUGCCAAAAGCACUGACAAUUCCUCGUCUAAUUCCACUGAUGACUUGCAGAGCAAUGAACAUAUUGAAGAAGGAAAUGAGGGACAGAGCACACAUGCCACAGAGCACAGUAUUAAUCAUUCUGAUCUAGAAAACAAAGGUAUUAGGAGCCUUACGACGUCUACGGUGAGCCUAAAUGACCAUAGAGUUACGGAUAACAAGGACACUACUAUAUCUAAGUCACCUUACAGCCGAAGUGCUGAAAACAUAUCAGUAAUAGAUCAAAACAUGACACAAAAUGUAAAUUGUACCAAAGAAUUAAACACAGAAACGAUCCUAGCUCAGUUCUCAAACCAAAAGCCUAAAGUCACAGCAGUACAGAAGAUUACAGUAGAAAUACCAAAAGCAACGGAACCUUCGCAAAACUUAGACGUUAGAUACUCGAGGUUACCAAAAGAACUGCUGUCUCAAGACUUAGGCUCCAUAGUCAAGAAUGUACAUGGGAUAUUUUCAUCAGUUAGUGGCAGCUUAAAGUACGCUUACAAUCAGACGCACAGAGCUCCAAAGCCUCCGAUUAAACCUAUCACAAAACCCAUACUGAAUGGGAAAGUCAUGGAUGAUAUAUUUGAAGAUGAAGCCACUGUAAAACCAAAUGUAACCAAUGGUCUUGAUAAAUCUCCUGUAAAAAUUGAAACAGCUCCACAAGAAAUGAAAAAAGAAGAGAUAAAUACAACUGUAGAUAACAAAAAUGAAAAUGAGAUAGACAAUGACCCGAAGAGAGAUAUAUUAAGACUGCAGAUAGCAUCUUUGGAGAGAGUCCUGGCUGAGCAGAGAAAGGAGAACACCAGUCUCAGAGAGAGAGUGAAACAGCAGGUUGACGAGCUUCAGGAGAAGGAUCAGACUUUCAAGGAGUUGGAGUUGAAGAUAGAUCAGAUGACGAAACGCGUCGAGCAAGCAGAACGCGAGAAAGAUGCGGCUGUGAUGCGUUACGCGAGCGUGGAGUGCGCGGCCAUAGAGGCUAGAAGAGCGGCGGAGAAGGCAGCGGCGGCUGAACGAGCGAACAGCACUGAGGUGGAACUACUCAACAACAAGAUCAAGUCUGCCAGUCAGGAGAAGGCCAGGAUCUGCCAGCUUUAUGACGAUAAGUGUCACGAGCUGUCGAACUGCGAGCGCGAGCUGGCGAAGGUGAGAGAAGACCUGAAGGAGCUCGAAGGUCGGCUCAAGUGGACGCAGAGCAAGCUGCGUAUGGAGAUGGACGCUUACAAGGACAGCGCAGAGCGUGCUGAGAAGCUGUCGCAGCAGGUGAGCGAGCUGGAGGCGGCGAAGGACGCCGCCGCCGCCAACGCUACAGACUCCGCGCGGGCCAGGCAGCUUGAACUGGAACUCAAGGAAAGCCAAGCCGCCCUUAUCCUCUGUCGUCACGAGAAGGAAGACCUGGAGCGUCGGCUGGCCUCCACCACCCAGCAACUGGACUCUUGCAAGCGGGAAAGGGACCUCGCUACCACCGCGCUUGCGCAAGCCACCACUGAGGUGAGUUCCCUGAAGGCCAGCAACCUGCGUCUGGAGGAGGAGGCGGCGGAGCUGGCCGCGCUCCGGGCGCAGGCCGCGCUGGCCGACACGCUCAGCGGUCAGUUACAGAGGGAAACGGAGCGCGCAUCGCAGGCAGAGGAGGCCCUGUCCCGCGAGCGCGCCCGCGCCGAGACCUGCGCGCGCAGGGAGGCGGCCGCGCUCGAGCACGCGGCGCGGCUCACGGCGCAGCACGUGCAGCAGCGGGCCGCCACCAGCGACCACGAGAACAAGGCUCAAGCCCUGUCCCUGGACAACGCCAGCCUCCGGGAGCGGAUAUCCUCGCUUGAAGCAGAAUGCACGCGGCUACAGGAAUCUCUAGCCGAGGAGACAGAGCGACGCAAUCGGGAAACUCGAGCACUUGCUAGGAAGGUGGCAGAGCUGACAGAAGAAGCGGCCGAGACGGGCAAGAAGCUGGAAUGGGAGAAGGGGGAGAAUGGAGUGCUGAAGAAGAAACACGCCAACGCUAUCAAGGAACUAAAUCGCGAGCUACAACGAGCGCUGAAGCGCUGUGAACAGCUGGAGGCGAAACUGCCACCGCCCGACGCCGCCUCCACCAGAACAGGUUCAGUAUCGUCCCUGAGCAGCGGUGAGAGCGCGGCGACAGACGAGCGUCUUCAAAACGGCCACGCACCCGUCGACGCGCUGCCCGACAUACAGGUUCGCGAGCCAGACAGGCAGCAGCUAAUCGAGCGCAUAGUGUCGCUCCAGCGGGCAGCGGCUAGGAGGGCAGAGCGCUGCGAGUUCCUUGAGGAGCAUUCUCGCCAGCUGACGGUGGAGCUGCGAGGCAAGGCGCGCUUGCUGCGGCAGCUGCUGUGCUCCUUGCCGGCGGGGGCCGUCGCCUCGCCGCACAGCGACGCUCAUAAGAAAGAGAUAGCCCGGCUGGGCGGAGGCGCGAUGGCCGCAGUGUGGGGCGGUGACGCGGGUGGCAUGACGCUCGAACUGUCGCUGGAGAUGAACUCGAAGCUACAAGCCGUGUUAGAGGACGCGCUGUUGAAGAACAUCACUCUCAAGGAAAACAUGGACACGUUAGGCGAAGAGAUCGCCAGGCUAAAAGAACAAAUGAAAAUCAACACAGAAAACAAAUCGUAAAUAUAUUAAAACAAUGGUGCUAAUUCCUGCAGACGCCGUCAAAUUUUAUUUUAAGUUAUACCUGUCAUUUUCUUAUCUGCUGUAAAAGAAAGGGACAAGUAAUCGACAGGCAUAAAAUUUAUGGAACACACGUCAAUUUUAAACACAAUUCUAAAACAGCCGUAUAAAAAUUUUACACACGACAACCGGCUUGCAUACCAGCGAGAUACCUUUUUGAUUCGCCCGGGUUAUUCAUUCAUUUACUCGUUCUUUCUAAAAUGAGAGCUGUCAAUCAUCCGUCCCUUUCCUUUUCGGCGGAUAAGAAAAUGACAGGUAUAACUAAAAGUAAAAUUAGAACGUGUCUGCAGGAAUCGGGGCCAUUAUAUUUAAUAAAUAUAAGAGUACUAUCACUAUCAAGUUUAAAAAUAUAUCAAAAAAUAAUAAAGAAUGAAAGCGAAACUAAAUAAAUAAAAUAUUAAAUUAAAUAAAUAAUAAAAUUAAAAUUAAUUAAUGCCAAUGCCAGUGAGAGCAGAAAAAAACAUUCCAAAAAAAAUUCGUUAAUAACCCGCCUAUGUUUAAAUUUUGGUUCGUCAAAUUGUUUUUGCUAAGGUCAAUUUAAUAGAUCACAUUAGACGUUACCUUAACCUCAAAGAUAUAAGGUUUAACACCCGUAUUCUAAAAUGUUAAAUCUUUCUUCACUCGACUUGGCCUCAGCUGAGCAUUUUGGUAUUUGAAGUCGACAUUUACGCCUUCGACUUGAGGACUUUACUCGCUGGAGUCGAUCAUACUGCCAACAUAAUACAUAACAUACAUAACAUAAACAGCCUUAAUACGUCCCACUGCUGGGCACAGGCCUCCCCUCAAUCAACCGGAGGGGGUAUGGAGCAUACUCCACCACGCUGCUCCAAUGCGGUUGUUUUUACGGCUAAUAGCCGGGACCAACGGCUUAACGUGCCCUCCGAAGCACGGAAUCAUCUUACUUUUUCGAACAAUCAGGUGAUUCAAGCCUGAAAAGUCCUUACCAAACAAAGGACAGUCUCACAAAGUGAUUUCGACAAUGUCCCCAUCGGG
This 4237-nucleotide unclassified non-coding RNA is filed under the name Pectinophora gossypiella (pink bollworm). RNAcentral's name for it is "coiled-coil domain-containing protein 186". The record is from RNAcentral. Lineage: Eukaryota; Metazoa; Arthropoda; Insecta; Lepidoptera; Gelechiidae.